This is a long non-coding RNA of Camelus dromedarius (Arabian camel), 910 nucleotides long. RefSeq lists it as uncharacterized. The record is from RefSeq and is a predicted model, not a curated record. The transcript is spliced from 3 exons. Lineage: Eukaryota; Metazoa; Chordata; Mammalia; Artiodactyla; Camelidae.
GUUGGGGGUUGAAGCUGAUCACCUUGGGCAAACUAUGUCGCCUCUCUGUGCCUUAGUUGCAUCUUCUGUGACUGCCCCCGGGCCCCUCGUCACAGCUGAUUUCCUAGACUAGAUGUUGGGAGGGAGGCUGCUGAAGGGAGUAAGAAGUGGCAACUGCUAGGGACACUGAAGAGAGAGACAAAAGCAGAUUAAAGCUGAUAAACUGAGUGCAAAUACCCUCAAAAGAGAAAGAAUCCCGCAGUGUUUUGAACCACUUAGCGUAAGGAAAACAAAAGCACGUGGACCCAAUUCUCUUGAGAAUGUGAGUAUUGUGGGUAGGAGGGUGUCAUCAGAAAACAGUUGAGAAAAGGCCUUUUGGUUUCCCUUGAUGUUUCCAGUAAGGAUGGGGAGCAGAAGCUAAAACCCACCGCUUCACAGUGCAAGCUGCUGUUUUGUGCAUAACUGACCAAAGGUUGGAAACCAGUCAUCAGCGGUGCUGGCAAAUGAAGAGACUUCUGGAUUGGGUGGGGCACUUGCUGUGACUUCCAGAUCCCUCCCUUUUCUCUGCUCUUCCUGUCCAUCUGUCUCCCUCCACUUUUCCCCUCCUCCCCUCCCCCUCCUCUCCUCCCCCUCCCAUCUUCUCCCUCCCUCGCUGCCCCACCUUCCCUCACAGAACCCAGAGGAUCGCUGGCACUCCUGCGCAUGGGCAGUCAGUGCCAGCUGGACCCCGAGUUGGAAGCUCCAGCUCCGAGCCAGGAAUCGGCCCCAAAACCUUCUCAGCUCUGUCGCCCGGACCAGCUCAGUGGCGUGGGCACUGCUCCCCCGGCUGAGAGCCCCCGGCUGUAACGCCCAGCUUCUCCUAGUGGAGUCGGGAAAAGGGAUCCUCAGUGUUGAGCGAGCUUCAAUCUCCUCCCUCAGUGUUUCUGCCGCA